This 1019-nucleotide long non-coding RNA is filed under the name Homo sapiens (human). Its description in RNAcentral is "HSALNT0389557". The record is from RNAcentral. Lineage: Eukaryota; Metazoa; Chordata; Mammalia; Primates; Hominidae.
UGGACAGCGGGUCCCACACGGUGUCGUGGGAGUGCCAGGUGUGAGCACGUAUACUUGGAAGUGUGCACAUGUCUUGUGCCCCCCGGGUGGCCCCUUGUGCCUGAGCCUCUGUGGCUGUGGUUUUCUGUGUCUGUAUCUGGUGGUGUAUGUCUAAUAUGGGAGAGUGAAAAUAGCCCUGCACUGCAAGUCAGGAUGCCUGGGUUGGAUUCCUAGCUUAACUUUAUUUUAAUUUUUUUUAAGAGAGCCUCCCAUGUUGGCCUCGAACCUCUGGGCUCAAGGGAUCCUUCUGCCUCAGCCUCCCGAGUGUCAGCUCUACUGGCUUUAGCUAUGUAGCCUUUUGGCAAGUCGUUUUCCUGCUCCGGGCCUCAGUUUCCUCAUCUGUAAAAUCAGUGAGCUGGGAUCGCCCGGAGCCAAGGUCUUCAAGCAGCACCCACUGGCUGGCUGAUCCCAGGCCUGUCACACGUCUAUUUUCAUCUGUUUCCCUGUCUGUCCCAGGAGACCUUUGCUCCAGAUGACCUCCAAGGCCACCCAGGAUGUGACAACCCUAGAGCCAGGGAGCCAGCAAGACCCCUCCGGGCCCAGGUUCCCGGCCCAGCAUCCCAGCUCUGGCCCAAAGCCAGCUUCCAGUUGUAUCGUGACCUUCUGAACCUCAGUUGUCUUGCCUGUAAAAUGGAAAUGAAGGGGAUGGUUAGCACUCCCACUGGAUCAAAUAAGCUGCACCUCAUACAUAAUGAGGAAACAGAGACCCGGAGAGAUACAGUCCUUGGCCAGUCAGCCAAGUUGGAGCAUAGCUUGGACUUUGAACCCAGUCUCCCAGCUCCCAGUCUGCCUGCAGCCCUGUCCCUCUCCACCCCCAAGCCCUGACCAGAAUUCUCUUCUGUACAUCCAGAAGGGCUUUCCCAUUCCUCAGACUCUCUGAGGCAAUUACAGUCCCUACCACUCAUGUGGCCCUUAAUCAUUUACUGCCCUUGCAAACAGCCUGUGGUCAAAAGCAAUAAAGUUCGGACUUGGACAGAUCA